UGUGCAUCCACUUAGCUAUAAAUGUCUCUAAUUUCUCGUUCUUUAUGGCUGAGUAGUACUCCAUUUUAUUAAAAAAAAAAUCUUUAUCCAGUCUCCAGUUACUGGGCAAUUGGGCUGUUUCCAAGUUUUAGCUAUUACAAACCGCCCCUAUAAACAUGGGUGCACAUAUAUCACUGUGGUGUGAUUCUUUUAAUUCUUCUGGGAAGAUACGUAGUAGAGGAAUACCUGGGACAAAUGAGACUUCCAAUCCUAGUUGUUUGAGGUAGCUCCAUAUAGAUGUCCACAGUGGUUGCACCAGUCUACACUCCCACGAACAAUGAAGAAGGGUUCGUUUCUCCCCACAACCUCAGCAGCACUUGUUAUUGGUUGAUAUCAUGAUAGCAGCCAUUCUUUCUGAAGUGAGGUGGAAUCAGCAUUGUUUUCAUCUCCAUCUCUCGAAUGACCAGUGAUGUUGAACAUUUUUUCAUAUAUUAAUUUGCUGCUUUUACUUCUUUGACAAAUGUCAAUUUCAAUUCCACCGCUCCCAGGGCAGAGGAGGUGAGCCAAUCCCAGCGCCCAAGAGGAGGCUCCCCAGUCGCCAUUCCACUGCUCCCAGGGCAGAGGAGGUGAGCCAAUCCCAGCACCCAAAAGGAGGCUCCCCAGCCCCCAUUCCACCACUCCCAGGGCAGAGGAGGUGAGCCAUGCAGGCACCAGCAGCACCUCGCCCCCAGCAUGGAAAUGAAAAGACAUGUAAACAAGCCUCAAACACAGACUUCCAUAUCACCUAGAGCAACCCCAAAGGGAAAUGAGAUGGAACACUCUGAUACUCAACCACCUGGACUCUCUGAACUGGCAACAAAAGAGGAUCUGGGAAAAAUGAAAUCAGAAAUAAUUACUCAGAUAACAACAAAGAUUGUGCCCAUAGUGCAAGACAUGAUUAAUAAAUCUAGAGAGGACACAUAAAAAAAAUAGAGGAUCUGAGGAACAUGAUGGAAUCCCAACAUAGAAACAAAUGGAAUCCAUAAAACAGAUGCAAACAGAUUUCCAGGAGAUUAAAACUCCAUCGAAAGUCUGCACAGCAGAAUGAACCAAUGUGAGGAUAGAAUUUCACAUAUACAAGAUAAGAUUGCAAAUAGUGACCACGAAAAGAAAAAUUGCUUUAAAAUAGUAAAGGAAAAUGAGAAAAUCAAUCCAGCAGCUGCUAGAUGAUGCAAAGAAGAAUAACAUAAGACUGAUCGGAGUCAAUGAAGAAAGAGGAGAGAGUGCAGAUGACAUUAAAAAAAACUGUUCACAGAAGUGAUGGCAGAAAACUUCUCAAGGAGGGGAAAAGAACUUGACAUACAGAUAAGUGAGGCAUAUAAGACUCCAGCUAGCCUUGAUCAAAAAAAUCUACACAUAGGCUUAUAAUAGGAUUCCAGAAAUCCAACAGAAGAACAAAAUUCUACAAGCAGUGAGAGAAAAGAAACAAAUCACAUACAAAGGAAAGCCCAUCAGAAUCACAGCAGACUUCUCAGUGCAAAUCCUGAAGGCAAGAAGAGCUUGGAGUGAUGUAUUUCAAGCCCUAAAGGAAAACAGCCUCCAGCCCAGAUUGAUGUACCCUGCAAAACUUCCUUUCAAAAUUGAUGGAGAAAUAAGAUACUUUCAUGAUAAAGAGCACCUCAGGAACUUCAUGAAUACCAAAUCAGCACUCUAAAAAAUUUUAGACAAUACCCUAGGAAAAGACAAUGAGGAUCACAACCCCAGGAAGCCCAGCAGAAUGAAUCUAUUGGGCGUGACAAACUCAAAGGGGGAGAAUCCAACAAAAAGAAAAGUCAUGACAAGGCUUUUGAAACUUUUAACUUCAUCUCCCUAAUGAGUGUAUAAUUCAGUGUUGUUAUUGUACUGAUUAGUAUUUUUCUGAUUCUAGAGUUGCACACCUUUCCUUGUGCUAUACUGGCUAUUUAUCAUUUUAUCAUCUUAUGUCUACAUUUUAAUUGGGUUGUCUAUUAAUGAGCUGUAAGAGUUCUUUAUAUAUUCUGGUCACAGGUUAUAUGCAUUGUAAAUACGAUCUGUUUAAG
RNAcentral lists this long non-coding RNA (2036 nucleotides) under Heterocephalus glaber (naked mole-rat). RNAcentral's name for it is "lncRNA (ENSHGLG00000039652.1)". The record is from RNAcentral. Lineage: Eukaryota; Metazoa; Chordata; Mammalia; Rodentia; Bathyergidae.